AACGUAGGACGCAAACGUUAUCCGGAAUUACUGGGCGUAAAGGGCGCGCAGGCGGAUCGAUAAGUGAGGCAUGAAAGCUUCGGGCUAAACCUGGAGAGGGUGUCUGAGACUGUCGAUCUGGAGUGCGAUAGAGGGGUGUAGAAUUCCGCGUGUAGUGGUGAAAUGCGUAGAGAUGCGGAGGAAUACCAGAGGCGAAGGCGGCACCCUGGAUCGUAACUGACGCUGAGGCGCGAAAGCAUGGGGAGCGAACGGG
This 253-nucleotide ribosomal RNA is filed under the name uncultured bacterium. RNAcentral's name for it is "partial 16S ribosomal RNA". It matches the Rfam family "Bacterial small subunit ribosomal RNA", at positions 524 to 776 of the family's 1533-position model. The record is from RNAcentral.